Molecule: long non-coding RNA, 82 nt
Filed under: Aedes aegypti (yellow fever mosquito)
Lineage: Eukaryota; Metazoa; Arthropoda; Insecta; Diptera; Culicidae
Description: lncRNA AAEL028761
Rfam family: Sphinx_ conserved region 1
Source: RNAcentral
GCGCGAUGAUUUUCUGUGAUUAUCCGGCGGAAUAUAACCCGAAGAUCCACGGACCUUACGAUCCUGUCCGUUACUACGGCAA